AGAGUUUGAUCCUGGCUCAGAUUGAACGCUGGCGGCAUGCCUUACACAUGCAAGUCGAACGGCAGCACGGGAGCAAUCCUGGUGGCGAGUGGCGAACGGGUGAGUAAUACAUCGGAACGUGCCCAGUUGUGGGGGAUAGCCCGGCGAAAGCCGGAUUAAUACCGCAUACGACCUGAGGGUGAAAGCGGGGGAUCGCAAGACCUCGCGCAAUUGGAGCGGCCGAUGUCAGAUUAGCUAGUUGGCGGGGUAAGAGCCCACCAAGGCGACGAUCUGUAGCUGGUCUGAGAGGACGACCAGCCACACUGGGACUGAGACACGGCCCAGACUCCUACGGGAGGCAGCAGUGGGGAAUUUUGGACAAUGGGCGCAAGCCUGAUCCAGCCAUGCCGCGUGUGGGAAGAAGGCCUUCGGGUUGUAAACCACUUUUGUCAGGGAAGAAACGGCUCUUACUAAUAUUAGGAGCUAAUGACGGUACCUGAAGAAUAAGCACCGGCUAACUACGUGCCAGCAGCCGCGGUAAUACGUAGGGUGCAAGCGUUAAUCGGAAUUACUGGGCGUAAAGCGUGCGCAGGCGGCUUUGCAAGACAGAUGUGAAAUCCCCGGGCUCAACCUGGGAACUGCAUUUGUGACUGCAAGGCCUAGAGUACGGUAGAGGGGGAUGGAAUUCCGCGUGUAGCAGUGAAAUGCGUAGAUAUGCGGAGGAACACCGAUGGCGAAGGCAAUCCCCUGGACCUGUACUGACGCUCAUGCACGAAAGCGUGGGGAGCAAACAGGAUUAGAUACCCUGGUAGUCCACGCCCUAAACGAUGUCACUGGUUGUUGGACGGCUUGCUGUUCAGUACGAAGCUAACGCGUGGAAGUUGACCGCCUGGGAGUACGGCCGCCAAGGUUUGAAACUCAAAGAAUUGACCGGGACCCGCCACAAGCGGUGGAUGAUGUGGUUAAUUCGAUGCAACGCGAAAACCUUACCUACCCUUGACAUGUCUGGAAGUUCCUAGAGAUAGAUUCGUGCUCGAAAGAGAACCAGAACACAGGUGCUGCAUGGCCGUCGUCAGCUCGUGUCGUGAGAUGUUGGGUUAAGUCCCGCAACGAGCGCAACCCUUAUCAUUAGUUGCUACGCAAGGGCACUCCAAUGAGACUGCCGGUGACAAACCGGAGGAAGGUGGGGAUGACGUCAGGUCAUCAUGGCCCUUAUGGGUAGGGCUACACACGUCAUACAAUGGCCGGUACAGAGGGCUGCCAACCCGCGAGGGGGAGCUAAUCUCAGAAAACCGGUCGUAGUCCGGAUCGCAGUCUGCAACUCGACUGCGUGAAGUCGGAAUCGCUAGUAAUCGCGGAUCAGCUUGCCGCGGUGAAUACGUUCCCGGGUCUUGUACACACCGCCCGUCACACCAUGGGAGCGGGUUCUGCCAGAAGUAGUUAGCCUAACCGCAAGGAGGGCGAUUACCACGGCAGGGUUCGUGACUGGGGUGAAGUCGUAACAAGGUAACC
RNAcentral lists this ribosomal RNA (1491 nucleotides) under uncultured bacterium. Its description in RNAcentral is "bacterial SSU rRNA". It matches the Rfam family "Bacterial small subunit ribosomal RNA". The record is from RNAcentral.